CUCGUAGGCGGCCAACUAAGUCAGACGUGAAAUCCCUCGGCUUAACCGGGGAACUGCGUCUGAUACUGGUUGGCUUGAGUUUGGGAGAGGGAUGCGGAAUUCCAGGUGUAGCGGUGAAAUGCGUAGAUAUCUGGAGGAACACCGGUGGCGAAGGCGGCAUCCUGGACCAACACUGACGCUGAGGAGCGAAAGCCAGGGGAGCAAACG
RNAcentral lists this ribosomal RNA (207 nucleotides) under uncultured bacterium. RNAcentral's name for it is "partial 16S ribosomal RNA". It matches the Rfam family "Bacterial small subunit ribosomal RNA", at positions 568 to 774 of the family's 1533-position model. The record is from RNAcentral.